Molecule: non-coding RNA, 204 nt
Organism: Vicia faba (fava bean)
Lineage: Eukaryota; Viridiplantae; Streptophyta; Magnoliopsida; Fabales; Fabaceae
Source: the annotation of a GenBank genome assembly
AUGGGUCAUAAAGAAGAGGAAACUAGCAAUGUGAAGAAAAAAAAUUCAUCAUGUGAUGUUGAGGCUUUGAAAAAGUGCUUGGAAGAUAACAAAGGGGAUUAUGUUAAAUGUCAGUCACAAAUUGAGGCUUUUAAAUCAUCAUGCUCAGUCAAGAAACCAAAUUCUUCUCUUGAUUCUUCACCACCACUCAAGACACGUGUCUGA